AUCCUCUCAACUCUCAUAUGUCAAUCUCUCUAUCUCAACAAGAAGCUGUCAACCAUCCCUUACAAAGCUCUCAAAAAAUCCCAAGGAAAUUCUCUGCCACUCACCAAGACCCUUAGGCUCACUCUCUAUUUCCACAGGCCGUCAAGCCCCUUUUAAAGAGUCCAAAUCGAGUCCCAAUCACAUCCAUACACCGAGUUGCAUUCAAAAAUCCCUUCUGACGUCUGAUCAUGC
Molecule: long non-coding RNA, 231 nt
Filed under: Elaeis guineensis (African oil palm)
Lineage: Eukaryota; Viridiplantae; Streptophyta; Magnoliopsida; Arecales; Arecaceae
Description: long non-coding RNA (EGUI_LNC033882)
Source: RNAcentral